UACGUAGGGUGCGAGCGUUGUCCGGAAUUAUUGGGCGUAAAGAGCUCGUAGGCGGUCUGUCGCGUCGAUCGUGAAAACUUGGGGCUUAACCCUGAGCUUGCGGUCGAUACGGGCAUGACUGGAGUUCGGCAGGGGAGACUGGAAUUCCAGGUGUAGCGGUGAAAUGCGUAGAUAUCUGGAGGAAUACCGGUGGCGAAGGCGGCAUCCUGGACCGGCAUUGACGCUGAGUGAGCGAAAGCUAGGGGAGCAAACGGG
This 255-nucleotide ribosomal RNA is filed under the name uncultured bacterium. Its description in RNAcentral is "partial 16S ribosomal RNA". It matches the Rfam family "Bacterial small subunit ribosomal RNA", at positions 524 to 776 of the family's 1533-position model. The record is from RNAcentral.